This is a long non-coding RNA of Homo sapiens (human), 1328 nucleotides long. Ensembl annotates it as long intergenic non-protein coding RNA 320. Lineage: Eukaryota; Metazoa; Chordata; Mammalia; Primates; Hominidae. The record is from Ensembl.
GGAUCAAGAGAAAAGAAAAUACAAGAAAACAGACAGAAGCAAGGCAAGGUACUUCUAUGGAAGGGUGAGCCCUCACAGAUGGAGCAAUGGGGCGCGCACACCUGAACAAGGGAGGGGAAGGAGUUCUUAUCCCUGAUGCAUGUGACCCCUGCUGCUGUGUCCUUCCCCUAUUGGCUAAGGCUUCUGACAGCUUUGGAGAUUGUGACAUUGGAAUAAAGGAAAAACGUACAGGACUCAUGAAGCGCUGAAAUGUUCACAAAUAUCAAGCAAAAGUCAAUGAAAUUUAUUUUGAGCUAUUUACAUCAUUUAAUAAUUGAGCAAGGUAUACUCCUAUGAACAAAAUUUGGAGCAUGUUUGUCUCUCUCUGCCUGGCGUCUUCAGAAUUUGGAAACUAGUUGUCAGGAGUUAACUUUUAUGUGACAAGCUUUACUAGGUCAGGAGCCUAUCGCUGUUUAUAUUCUCUGCAAAGUUUUAAUUGUGAAAAAGGAUUUGAGAUGGUUUAUAAUCAGCUAUAGAAUUUUAACACGUGCUCUCAAAUGCAAGUUUCUGAUAACUUUGGAGAUUGUGACAUUGGAAUAAAGGAAGAGCUGGAAUGUUCAUGAAUAUCAAGCAAAAGUCAUGGAAAUUUAUUUUGAGCUAUUUACAGCAUUUAAUAAUUGAGCAAGGUAUACUCCUAUGAACAAAAUUUGGAGCAUGUUUGUCUCUCUCUGUCUGCCUGGCAUCUACAGAAUUUGGAAACUAGUUGUGCUGUACUGCAUGAGAAUGCCUGCAUUUAGUAUGCGAACUGGAAUUGGCAAAGGACGAUGGCUGCUCUCCCGCUAACUUUAAAUAAGUCAUGUCACAAAUUGCAUGUAAGACUUAUAAAAUAUUAACGUUGGGAGACACUGAAACAAAUCAGUAUUUCUAUUAACCUGCGAAAAGAUCUUCCAAAUAUAUAACCAAAGUAACUAAAACAAAUACUAAAAAGAGUUUACUUUUAAAACUAGGUUUAUGAAAUAUUUUCCCCAAGUUUGCAUGAUUAUUAGAAAAGUGGCUUAAAGAGUAAAGAAAAACUGGAAUCUUGUUGACCCCAAGUACUCCUCUAACCCUUUUGCUCUGCUGUUACAAUGGACCAGUAAAUCUUCAAACAUAACACCUCUUAAAUUAAAAACAGAAAUGGUGUAGAUUGCACACAUUACAACAUUUUUUUAGGCUUACUUCUUUUUUUCAAUAUUAAAGCUUAUUUUUCACACAUUACUUAAUGUUGCCUGUUAAAAAGUGGUGCUUAUAUUUGUGUAGCUAUCUGUUUGAUGGUGGUUUAGUUUAGGAAAUAAAUCACACAGUGACAA